Molecule: ribosomal RNA, 542 nt
Filed under: uncultured bacterium
Lineage: Bacteria
Description: bacterial SSU rRNA
Rfam family: Bacterial small subunit ribosomal RNA
Source: RNAcentral
AUUUGCACAAUGGGCGAAAGCCUGNUGCAGCAACGCCGCGUGAGGGACGAAGGCUUUCUGAGUUGUAAACCUCUUUCAGCAGGGACGAUUGUGACGGUACCUGCAGAAGAAGCCCCGGCCAACUACGUGCCAGCAGCCGCGGUAAUACGUAGGGGGCAAGCGUUGUCCGGAUUUAUUGGGCGUAAAGAGCUCGUAGGCGGCUUGGCAAGUCGGAUGUGAAACCUCCAGGCUCAACCUGGAGUCGCCAUUCGAUACUGCCAUGGCUAGAGUUUGGUAGGGGACCACGGAAUUCCUGGUGUAGCGGUGAAAUGCGCAGAUAUCAGGAGGAACACCAGCGGCGAAGGCGGUGGUCUGGGCCAAUACUGACGCUGAGGAGCGAAAGCGUGGGGAGCGAACAGGAUUAGAUACCCUGGUAGUCCACGCCGUAAACGCUGGGCACUAGGUGUGGGGACCUAUCGACGGUUUCUGUGCCGCAGCUAACGCAUUAAGUGCCCCGCCUGGGGAGUACGGCCGCAAGGCUAAAACUCAAAGGAAUUGACGGA